GGCCAGGGAGGGAAAAAUGGAAAGGCUCUGACAGACAUUCCCUGUGUUAGCUUUGGGGGGGAAGCUGGACUGAGACUGAGUCCAGAAAAAGAGCAGCCCCGUGAGUCAGCACGCUCUAAAGGAGUAGGAGACACUGAGCACGGCCCAGGAGAGGGGUGGAAGACUCUUUUGAAGAAGAAGACAGCCUCUCAGGUGAGGGCAGAAAACUCUUGUGGGUUUGGAGUCCAUUUGAACUUUGAUACCCUAGAAGGGGUGGGCUUUUCUCUUCUGACAACCAGAGGGCUAAGUCACUGCAGCAACCAAACUGUGCACGAAGGCUGGAAUAUCUAACCAAUGUGAGGGGAAACUGAGGCAGCAGAGGGCCUGAAGGCAAUCUGGGUUAGUUUGUCGUGGUGGAGCCAUGAAGGAACCAUGCCUUGAGGUGAAGUCUCUCCAGCUCCAGAUGGAGGACUUGACCGUCGUCCUAAGAGAGAAGAUUCCGUAGGCGAGGGAGAAUGAAUGGUGUGCAGAUCGCCAUGCAUGUCAAGGCUUGUAUCUGCGUCUCCUGUUAGGAGCUGUAAAGAUCCCUAGGGUCCUCAAUGUGGCUCUAGAGUCCUUCAUGGAAUGGAGAAAUUCAUACAUCUUAGUGGAGAAGACCUUGUCCCUGUCGAAGAGGACCACCUCUACUUUGGUCAGGAGUUCGCUUGGGAUACCAGGGUGGAGCAGUGGGAGAUUCUAGUUGGUCCAGUACCGUCGGUAACAGCGAGCAGCCGGUGCCAAGCAGUGGAGAUCUGGGAGCAGAGGAUGCUUCUAUAUCAGAUAAGUGCAUAAAGGAGGAUCAGUGCCAUCAACUUGAAACUAUUUACAUAUUUGACAUAAAGUCAAACAGUUUUGUCCAGCAAAAAAGUUUGAGCCAAGAUUUACAAAGUAGCCAGUGGCACCCCUCCUCCCCCCCCCCCGAUAGCUGUUUUAUUUAACGAGAGGCACACAAUGGCACUAUUAGAUACUUCUACCUAAAUGUAAGCAAUAUUUAAGAUUAAUAAUUUAGACAAGUCCUAGUAGCUAGUUGUAGUGCAGUGCUUUGGCAACUGUGCACAUUAAAGUGACCUGUGUUCCUUCCUUAAGUGUCUCCGAAUGAAUCAUUCUGAAGAGCGGCACUGUUUGUUGCCAGCAAAAUAUUCCAAACACAUUCAAAACAAAAACAAACAUUACAUUAUGUCAAGCCAUUACAUAUUCCAGGUUCCAGCAUUCAGUUUUCUUGGUUUCUGCAUGUCUGUUUUUAAUAACUACCCAUUUUUGUCCUAAUGUAAAAAUUCUGUUUUAAAGUUAGUCACUUACAACAAGCCACUAUUUAAAAAAAUAUUAUCUUCAUUCCAAGUACUUUUAUAAUCAGAACAUUAUAAUGUGCAUAAAGCAAAGGUGUAUAAUCUAACUAAUCUGUUUUAAAAUCCAAUACCACAGUGCCUCUUUGUAUAAAACUCUGUAAAGACAGCUUCAUUUGUUAAAGACACACACACUGAUGUAAUCCAGGAUAUAUAUGCUGAUAUUUUUCU
Molecule: long non-coding RNA, 1532 nt
Organism: Trachemys scripta elegans
Lineage: Eukaryota; Metazoa; Chordata; Testudines; Emydidae
Exons: 4
Source: RefSeq, a predicted model, not a curated record